Long non-coding RNA from Polypterus senegalus (gray bichir), 1361 nucleotides. RefSeq lists it as uncharacterized. The record is from RefSeq and is a predicted model, not a curated record. The transcript is spliced from 3 exons. NCBI's taxonomy places the organism in Eukaryota, Metazoa, Chordata, Cladistia, Polypteriformes, Polypteridae.
AUCUUCAUGCGCAGUACCCGUUUCUCACAACAACAGUAACAUCCGCUGAAACGGUGCUAAUAGCGCGCUUUGGAAGAGACUGAUUGGUAAUGCGGAGGGGGCGUUAAAAGAUAUCAGCGCGAGGCCCGCAAGUCGGGCUCGUUUUAUUUGGCUGAUAUGGUCGAGAACAGCUAAUCGUACUGCAUCACUGACUUCUUUUCGCGUUCAACUUUUUCAUUUUUUUCCAACAGCGCUCGAUUUCGGUGAGCAUUAUCUGAAAUAUAAAGUGUAUAAAGGCGCAAACACUUCUGUAACUUUUUGGCUGACUUGUUGAUAUCGAAACUCCAAAGCACACCAGAAAAGUACAGGAAUGUGGUAUCCUUUGUCAGCUUGUUCUAAAGGCACCUGACUGGAAUAAACAAACAGACCACAAACAUGACACUUCUGUAAUACUGCAGGAGCCCUGCCUUCCGUGUGACGUGAUAAGGGCACUGGAUGCAUGAUUUCGGUAACGCCUGUCACCAGCAUGUCAGGUAGUUUCAUUUUUCAACUAAUCAUAUUAUCAGCGUACUCACCUCUUUGCAUGUUAACCCUUGAAGAAGCUACUCCAUGAUUUGUUUUGUUUUUUUGAGCUCUCGUCGUGAGAAGUUGCGGAGUUACGUUCUCGCUCUCGCUGGCGCUCUCACUCUGGAUUCCAGCAGGGAGGGAUUCCCGCAGCGACUACGCACCGGGACUCUCGUUAACCCACAGACGGAACGCGUAAACGGACUUGGGACCAAAGUACGAGCACCUCCCAAGACCAAGCGCGCUCCCGUGACCGCCCUGCGAGCCAAUCACGAGAAGUACUGGUGGGGCUCGCAACCCUGCAACCACUGCAACCAUGGACAGCGCCCAAAAGUAAAUCCUCGCGUGAUGCGGAACUCUGCGGAGCAGCAUGGACAAGUCCAAGUGGUGUUUACAUCUACUCGUCCUGCCCAUGUUCUCUGCUGCAUUUUUCUGCACUCUGCAUUUACAAUGUCACCUAUCACUCUAUAAUGUGCAUGCAUACACAUAGAGGCAGUUACAGAUUGGCUGUUUCUAAGUGUAUACUACACUAUCCUGUGAUCAUGGAUUGAAUGGCAGGGGUCCCAGAUGUCCACAUGACCAUCAUCAUCAAUUUCUUCGAUGUGAAGCCUGAAAACCAUGAGGACAGAUUUAGACCAUCUAUGUUAAGUAGAACGCCCAGUGGGGGCUGGGUGGUCUUUUGGCCUUAUUUUUUAUUUUUUUUUUCUGUCCUCCUGGCCAUUCGACUUUAUCUAUUUCUUUGUUGCACACUGUAUAAUAUUAUUGCCUAAUCUUGUUUGUUUAUGUUUUAUAUUAACUUAUUUUAUUUCAUUUUCUAA